This 919-nucleotide long non-coding RNA is filed under the name Vitis vinifera (wine grape). RNAcentral's name for it is "long non-coding RNA (VVIN_LNC006540)". The record is from RNAcentral. Lineage: Eukaryota; Viridiplantae; Streptophyta; Magnoliopsida; Vitales; Vitaceae.
ACCCUUGCCGACGGUUCUUUCUUCCUUCUCUCUCAUUCCAUACCCAUUCCUUUCAAACGGUUAGUUCUUUCUUCCCUCUCUCUCAUUCCUUACCUGUUCCUCUCAUCUGUUUUCACUUUGUCACGGAGGCGAAGCAGAGAACCGUGUAGAGUGUUAAAAAAGUUCUGUCAUUUCAGUUGAGAAGGGCUUAAUCCCAUUUGUUUCAUCUCAGAUUUUCUGUCUCGAGGUAAUGCAUUCCUUCCUUCUGUCAUUUCAGUUGAGAAGGGUUUAAUCCCAUUUGUUUCAUCUCAGAUUUUCUGUCUCGAGGUAACCCAUUCCUUCAUUGUUUUGCAUUCGCAUUUACAUUGACGUAAAUAUGUUGUUAGUGUGGGUUUUUUAUGAACUAGGUGUGGCUUAAAUGUUGGCAUUUAGGAGUUGGUACUAAAUUUUUAAAUCUAUUCGUAAUAAAUCAUCAUCAUUUUUUUUCAAUUCCAUGCGUUUUCUGAGUUUUUACUGUUUUAUUUGGAUUGGCAAAUUCUCGAAAAUCUGUUGUUUUGAUAUAAAAUGAAGGCAAGAAUAUGAGUUGGGAAUUGUUUUUGUUGUGGUUUAGAAUUGGGAAAAACAUAUUUUGAAUUGGUUUGCCAAAAAAGGAAUUUUUUUUUUCCCCAAACUGUUUUUGGGUAUUGGGAAACAAUGCAUUUUUAGUGAAACCCAUUUAUUGGAUUGGGUUAUGCAAUGGAUUACCAAAAUGGAACACUUUUUGGGGAUGAUGUAUUUCUUCUGAGAGCGAAAUAAGUGCUUCUGAAAUGGUGAUUUAUAGAUUCGAAAUUACUCAUGUUUUUGGGUUUUUGUGAUAUUCAUGGUUGGUGGGUGCUAACGUUUUCGUUGUUGUUUUUUUAUUUUUUUUUGUAUUUGUUUUAUAUGUAUAGUUUAAAUUCAC